AAAGGAAUUGACGGGGACCCGCACAAGCAGCGGAGCAUGUGGUUUAAUUCGAAGCUACGCGAAAAACCUUACCAAGACUUGACAUCGCUUGCAUAGCCCCGAAAAGGGUGAAAAAAUAGCAAUAUUUCAAGCAGACAGAUGGUGCAUGGUUGUCGUCAGCUCGUGUCGUGAGAUGUUAGGUUAAGUCCUAUAACGAGCGCAACCCUUGUCAGUAGUUGCCAGCAUUAAGUUGGGCACUCUACAGAGACUGCCGUAGAUAAUACGGAGGAAGGUGGGGAUGACGUCAAAUCAUCAUGCCUCUUACGUCUUGGGCUACACACGUGCUACAAUGGCCGCCACAAAGAGUCCCGAACCGGUAACGGGGAGGCAAUCUCAAAAAAGCGGUCUCAAUUCGAAUUGAGGGCUGCAACUCGCCCUCAUGAAGUCGGAGUUGCUAGUAAUGGCGAAUCAGCAUUGUCGCCGUGAAUGCGUUCCCGGGUCUUGUACACACCGCCCGU
RNAcentral lists this ribosomal RNA (497 nucleotides) under uncultured bacterium. RNAcentral's name for it is "bacterial SSU rRNA". It matches the Rfam family "Bacterial small subunit ribosomal RNA", at positions 903 to 1397 of the family's 1533-position model. The record is from RNAcentral.